CUCUCCCCUCCCCUCCCCUUCAUUAAAAUCCCUCCCCUCCCCUCAUCUUUUUUAAACCAUCAUUUGUAUGCAAUUAGUGAAAGAAUUAGUGAAAAUUGAUAAUUUGUUAGCCUUUACAUUAGUAACUUUCAGCAUGCUGAAGUAGUAGGUUUAAAAACCUUUUACAGACAAUGUUUGAGUUGAAAAAGGGGCUGUCUUAGUCUCAAAGAUUGUCACAAGAAGUUUUUAUAUGGUUGCUGCAGAUAUUAAUGUUAAUGAGGCUAAUGACUCCAACAUGAAAAACUCUCCAAUUUUAAAGAAUUACUUUCGGUUAGUGAUUGGGAAUGGUUAGGAGAGUUCUCAAAAUAUAUUGGGAGGUGCAAUGUCGUUGUUGCAGAGUUAUGGGGCGUGCUUGAAGGUUUAAAGCUGGCCGGAGAUUAAGGGUUCGCUAAGAUAAAGGUGUGCCUGGAUUCAUCAGUUGUCAUCUCCACAUCCAAAAUGUAGGUGGUGGAAAUGUCAUGGGGCAUAGGUUGGUUCAACAAUUUCGUCAAAGGAAGGAUCUUGAAUGGGCAGAAGAAUUUUUUUGGUGAAGAUGGCCUUGCUAAUAUGUCCUUUAACUUAGAAGACGAGUUCUCUCUCUUUGAAGUGUAUCCGGAAGAAGAAAUUAAGGAUCGC
Long non-coding RNA from Trifolium pratense (red clover), 654 nucleotides. RefSeq lists it as uncharacterized. NCBI's taxonomy places the organism in Eukaryota, Viridiplantae, Streptophyta, Magnoliopsida, Fabales, Fabaceae. The record is from RefSeq and is a predicted model, not a curated record. The transcript has 4 exons.